This 802-nucleotide non-coding RNA is filed under the name Cinygmina sp. 07BF85. RNAcentral describes it as "12S ribosomal RNA". It matches the Rfam family "Microsporidia small subunit ribosomal RNA". The record is from RNAcentral. Lineage: Eukaryota; Metazoa; Arthropoda; Insecta; Ephemeroptera; Heptageniidae.
CCGUAGUUUUCCAUUCCGCUAUUAAAAAGUUUUAUUCUAGCUAUGGAAUUUCUUAUUUUGUUGGUUCACAUGUGAGAUUUUUCGAGAAACGAGAGUUGUCUGAAAGACAAGAGUUUAGUUUAAUCGCAGUGUUUUGUAUUAAAUAUCAAGGAUGCUUGGAGUUAGCAAUUGAAUGAGUCCCGGCAAAAUUCGUGCCAGCCGCCGCGGUUACACGAAAGGGGCAAAGAUAUUUUCUUGGUUUGUAGUUAGUUUUGGGGUUAGGGUUAGAACGGGAAUUUUGUUAGGUGAAAUUUUAAUAUUUGGGUUAAUCUAAGAAGGUUGAAUGAAGUUACGAAAUUUAGUAAAAAGACUAGGAUUAGAUACCCUAUUAUUCUAAACGUUGAAAGUAGGCCUGAGUAGUAAGAGAUAAGGUCUUGAAACUCAAAGAAUUUGGCGGUGUUUUAGUCCAUUCAGAGGAAUCUGUCCCGUGAUCGAUAUUCCACGUUUACUUAACUUGAAUUAGUCGUCAGCUUGUAUACCGCCGUCAAAAGAGUGAUUCUAGAGAAUAUCCUCAAAUUUUUUGACUGAAAUACAUGUCAGGUCAAGGUGCAGCUUAUGUUCAAGGGGAGAUGGGUUACAAUAAGGAUACUUACACGGAGAGUCAUUUGAAAUAAUGGUAGGAAGGUGGAUUUGAAUGUAAUAAAAUUAAAAGAAGUUUUGUGAAAGAGGCUCUAAAACAAGCACACAUCGCCCGUCGCUCUCGUUUGUUAAGGCGAGAUAAGUCGUAACAAAGUAGGUGUACCGGAAGGUGCCCCUAGAAAGU